GGGUGUGCGCUCAUCCAUUCUUACACCCCCCCCAACUCUGUGGUCUUUGGACGAGGAGGAGGACGAACACGAAGGGGAGGAGGGGAGGGAGAAGGAGGGUGCUGAUGAUGAUGAGACACAAUGGCUGCAUCAAUGAGGCAACUGCAGAGGGUGCCAAACCGGAUCGUCGGCGCAAGAAACAUGUGUGCCUUGCCGCAGAAAUCCCCUCUCUCCUCUUCUGAGGAGCUCAUGAGGUUGGAACAGCAGUGUAGCGCUCACACUUACCAUCUCAUUCCUAUGGUGUUUUCUCAAGCAAAAAGUACAUUGAUUUCUUAUCUGCGUAUUCUGCUGUUGAUCAGAGGGUGUGGAAACAGCAUUGAAGUUGGCACGAAAAUGGAGCUAUGAGAAGAAAAAGAUCCCCAAGGAUGAGGGCUACUAUGUUGGGACAGGAGUUCAGGAAUCAACUAAUGAAGAUUCAUCUGCAGUUCCCACGAAUAGUAAAAUAGAUUGAAGGAAGAGGAUUGCUUAACGCAGUAGAAUUGAACAACAAAGAACUAUCUCCUGUUUCUUCAUAUGAUUUAUGUAUUAAACUGAAGGAGAGUGGCAUUCUCACAAAGCCAACACAUGAUUCCAUUAGUCAAUUCGCUCCACCACCAUCCAUAA
Musa acuminata AAA Group (dessert banana) is the source of this 642-nucleotide long non-coding RNA. RefSeq lists it as uncharacterized. NCBI's taxonomy places the organism in Eukaryota, Viridiplantae, Streptophyta, Magnoliopsida, Zingiberales, Musaceae. The record is from RefSeq and is a predicted model, not a curated record. The transcript is spliced from 4 exons.